CUCCUGUCUAUGCCUCCCCAAUAUCUGGGAUUACAGGUAUGCACCACCACACCUGGCUGAAUAUACUUUUGUCCAAUGGGAGGGCUGGGAGGCCUUUAGAGUCUAAGCUUUCUCUUCUGCAAAAUGAGGUAGAUAAUAGUAACCUCACAGAGGGAGACAGGCAAAUAAACAGAUCCUUUUAUUACUAGAGUUUUUAGAAUAGGGGAUGCUUAGGUGCUUAUAAGCACAGGGGUGAGGGCACUAAACCUGAAGAGAGGGGUGUAUACAGAAAUCAUUUCCUGGGGAGAUGACACCUGCCAGUUACUAUUAGUGAAAUAAAAUAACUUUUGUUAUUUUAAAUUAUGUUGCAAUGAACAUCUCAUGUCUUUAUGUACAUAUCUGAAUUGUUGUAGGAUAAAUUCCUAAAAUAGAGUUGCUUUAUUAAAGUAUAUGCAUCUUUAAUUAAAUGCAAUUUAAUUAAAGAAUAUGCAUCUUUAAUCUUUAAUUUUAAUUACCAUAUAUCAACAGGAUAAACUAUGUAUAAACUAAAAUAAAUGUUA
This 539-nucleotide long non-coding RNA is filed under the name Marmota monax (woodchuck). Lineage: Eukaryota; Metazoa; Chordata; Mammalia; Rodentia; Sciuridae. The record is from RNAcentral.